RNAcentral lists this ribosomal RNA (274 nucleotides) under uncultured bacterium. RNAcentral's name for it is "partial 16S ribosomal RNA". It matches the Rfam family "Bacterial small subunit ribosomal RNA", at positions 523 to 796 of the family's 1533-position model. The record is from RNAcentral.
AUACGGAGGGUGCGAGCGUUAAUCGGAAUUACUGGGCGUAAAGCGUACGUAGGCGGAUGGUUAAGUUAGAUGUGAAAGCCCCGGGCUUAACCUGGGAACUGCAUUUAAAACUGGCGAACUAGAGUUGAGUAGAGGGGAGUGGAAUUUCAGGUGUAGCGGUGAAAUGCGUAGAGAUCUGAAGGAACACCAGUGGCGAAGGCGACUCCCUGGACUCGAACUGACGCUGAGGUACGAAAGCGUGGGUAGCAAACGGGAUUAGAAACCCUAGUAGUCC